UAGACCACUGUGUGCCGCCUCUUCCAUGGACGCAACAGCUUCUUCGACCCCGCUGCCGACGCCAUGGAGAUCGUCAAGAUUGCAUUCCUCAGGAAGAUACUCCUUUCGUCCGUCAAACCUACCGGACAUGAUGGAAAAUCUCCAUUGCGAACGACACCGGUCAUUUUCUCUUGCCAAGCGGUGCUGCAGAAGUUGACGCAGUUUGGGCUUGAAGAUGCACAGGAUGGCGCCGUCGUCCUCGUGCUUUCUUCGCUGAUGAAGAUGCACUGGAUGGCGUCGUUGUCCUCUUGCUCUCUCCGCUGAUGAAGAUGCACUGGAUGGUGCAGUCGUCCUCAGGCUUUCUCCGCUGAUAAAGAUGCACUGGAUGGCGGCGUCGUCCUCGAGCUUUCUCCAUUGAUGGGUUAGGUUUCAGAAUUAAGCCAUGUAUGUAGUAGUUUGGCUCUGUCAUGUUGUAAUGUUUGUGAUGGAAGGACGCGAAGUACCUGUGCUUCCUGGGAUGUGUAGUGGACUCGAGAUGGUUUUUAUCACCUCAUCUGAGAAGUAGUUGAUGACAUAGAUAUUUAACUUUGUUUUGGUGAAGAUGUAUUGCACUGCGCUGUGUGCGCGCGCACACAUGCAUGCGUGUUCCUGUUUGAUCAAAUCUGGUGGAAGUAACAUCUUCAUUGUGAAGGUUGGGAUGUGAAAUGAUGUGCAUCGUUAUGGGAAUUUUCUUUCUGGGUUAACUGCAUCAAGAGUUAAGUUGAUCAUAUUAUUCA
Long non-coding RNA from Triticum aestivum (bread wheat), 755 nucleotides. RefSeq lists it as uncharacterized. The record is from RefSeq and is a predicted model, not a curated record. The transcript has 2 exons. NCBI's taxonomy places the organism in Eukaryota, Viridiplantae, Streptophyta, Magnoliopsida, Poales, Poaceae.